Molecule: ribosomal RNA, 800 nt
Filed under: uncultured bacterium
Lineage: Bacteria
Description: bacterial SSU rRNA
Rfam family: Bacterial small subunit ribosomal RNA
Source: RNAcentral
GAGUUUGAUCAUGGCUCAGGAUGAACGCUGGCGGCGUGCCUAACACAUGCAAGUCGAACGAAGCGCCUGAUCAGAUUUCUUCGGAAAGAAGAUUUAGCGACUGAGUGGCGGACGGGUGAGUAACGCGUGGGCAACCUGCCUCAUACAGGGGGAUAACAGCCGGAAACGGCUGCUAAUACCGCAUAAGCGCACAGGACCGCAUGGUCCGGUGUGAAAAACCCCGGUGGUAUGAGAUGGGCCCGCGUCUGAUUAGCCAGUUGGCGGGGCAGCGGCCCACCAAAGCGACGAUCAGUAGCCGACCUGAGAGGGUGACCGGCCACAUUGGGACUGAGACACGGCCCAAACUCCUACGGGAGGCAGCAGUGGGGAAUAUUGCACAAUGGGGGAAACCCUGAUGCAGCGACGCCGCGUGAGCGAAGAAGUAUUUCGGUAUGUAAAGCUCUAUCAGCAGGGAAGAAGAAAGUGACGGUACCUGACUAAGAAGCACCGGCUAAAUACGUGCCAGCAGCCGCGGUAAUACGUAUGGUGCAAGCGUUAUCCGGAUUUACUGGGUGUAAAGGGAGCGCAGGCGGUACGGCAAGUCUGAUGUGAAAGCCCGGGGCUCAACCCCGGUACUGCAUUGGAAACUGUCGGACUAGAGUGUCGGAGGGGUAAGCGGAAUUCCUAGUGUAGCGGUGAAAUGCGUAGAUAUUAGGAGGAACACCAGUGGCGAAGGCGGCUUACUGGACGACAACUGACGCUGAGGCUCGAAAGCGUGGGGAGCAAACAGGAUUAGAUACCCUGGUAGUCCACGCCGUAAA